GGCAGUCGGAGGAGUGAGCCAGCGUUUUCUCUCUCUGUCCCUCUGCAGACUGGCUCUGGUUGGCACCUGGUACCGCUGGAACCCUGAAAACCAGUUGAAGGUGGCUUCUCGUGGACCUGCUUCCCCGACUCUGAGGGACCCUGGGGACAGUCCUGGGCCUCUGCCCCAGGUGAAGCCAGAAUAAACAGAAUUCAGUCUGGCCAGUCACCCCUGCAUCACUGCCCACCAGAACCCUGCAAUUUCACCUCAUUUCGAGGGCUUGAAUUGCCUCUGGGAGUUUCUGAAAUAGCUCCCUUGGUAUAGCCUGAGAGGAACCGGAUAGGUCAAACCCGGAUGGGAAUGAGCCUAAACAGGAGAGGUGGACGGCCCAGCAGAACGCCCUGAAACCAGACCGUCUGACCCAGAGGGGCCUGAGGGAGCCAACCUCUCAUUUUACCGCAUGCUCACGUGACUUGCCUGGAAGAGCAAAAGGAACUGAACUCCUGAGCUGAGUGCAGCAGCCACUGCUCCAUCAGAAACCUUCACGGGCGGGGGUGGGGGUGGGGCUGCCCCAGGGCUUUUUCACUGGCUGCCCUUCCAACAGCUUCCUCCCGUGCCCCUGCUUUUUUGCUUCCUCUAAGCCUUCAUCUCUCAUGGCUGAGGUCACUUCUUUGCAGAAACCGUCCUUGAUCAAGCCCUGGCGAGAGAAGCCUCAUCUCUUGUUUUACUGACACCCUUCUUAGGACUUGAUAUCCUGCAUAUCUGCAGGUCGGGAGUCAUUACUUCCUUCAUGAGAUUUUCCAUUCCCAAGCUGGGUCAUUUCUGUUCCACGCACACGUCCGGGAGUGGCCUACUCGUGAUUGAAUGAAUGACAGACGGAUAUGCCUG
Molecule: long non-coding RNA, 867 nt
Filed under: Mus spretus (western wild mouse)
Lineage: Eukaryota; Metazoa; Chordata; Mammalia; Rodentia; Muridae
Description: predicted gene 14236 (ENSMSPG00010032500.1)
Source: RNAcentral